RNAcentral lists this unclassified non-coding RNA (434 nucleotides) under Hevea brasiliensis (rubber tree). Lineage: Eukaryota; Viridiplantae; Streptophyta; Magnoliopsida; Malpighiales; Euphorbiaceae. The record is from RNAcentral.
CGGUGCUGCACCAGAUAUUUGUGUGAGAAGAAUGUCUUUCCACACCCUUUGACAGGACAAAUAUUUCUUUUGUGCAAUGCUAGCUCAUGUUUUGAGCCAAAGCUCAUGGCGCACCCCUCUAUGUCACACUGAUAUUCUGCAUCCUCAUCCUUAUUUUUCACACUCUUCUGGCCAUUUGGAGGCUUCCCAGCUGAAGAACUCUUCACUUUCUUCCUACUGCUUUGCAGCUUAUCUUUUAGCUUUGUUUCUGACUCCUUUGAAGGCUUUGAGGGCCUUUUCCUAAGGCGUGUACUGGGUCCACCUUCUAGCUCUUCUUCAACACGUGAUUCGAACUGUCUUGUAUUACGCUCACCUUUAGCAUUCCAAAGCCGAGGAGUUUCUUGCUUCAUUUGCUUAUCUUGUUUGAUUGAUUGGAGAUUCUCUCUCCUUUUUAG